RNAcentral lists this ribosomal RNA (321 nucleotides) under uncultured organism. RNAcentral describes it as "eukaryotic LSU rRNA". The stretch from base 1 to 109 matches the Rfam family "5.8S ribosomal RNA", at positions 46 to 154 of the family's 154-position model. The record is from RNAcentral.
CAGCGAAAUGCGAUAAGUAAUGUGAAUUGCAGAAUUCAGUGAAUCAUGGAAUCUUUGAACGCACAUUGCGCCCCCUGGUAUUCCGGGGGGCAUGCCUGUUCGAGCGUCAUUUCACCACUCAAGCCUCGCUUGGUAUUGGGCAACGCGGUCCGCCGCGUGCCUCAAAUCGACCGGCUGGGUCUUCUGUCCCCUAAGCGUUGUGGAAACUAUUCGCUAAAGGGUGCUCGGGAGGCUACGCCGUAAAACAAACCCAUUUCUAAGGUUGACCUCGGAUCAGGUAGGGAUACCCGCUGAACUUAAGCAUAUCAAUAAGCGGAGGAA